RNAcentral lists this transfer RNA (92 nucleotides) under Candidatus Saccharimonadota bacterium. RNAcentral's name for it is "Candidatus Saccharibacteria bacterium tRNA-Ser". It matches the Rfam family "tRNA". Rfam says of the family: Transfer RNA (tRNA) molecules are approximately 80 nucleotides in length. Their secondary structure includes four short double-helical elements and three loops (D, anti-codon, and T loops). The record is from RNAcentral. Lineage: Bacteria; Candidatus Saccharimonadota.
GGAAGGAUGCAGGAGUGGUUGAACUGGCACGCCUGGAAAGUGUGUAGGCUCUUUACGGGGCCUCCGGGGUUCGAAUCCCCGUCCUUCCGCCA